This is a non-coding RNA of Pelobates cultripes (western spadefoot toad), 308 nucleotides long. Lineage: Eukaryota; Metazoa; Chordata; Amphibia; Anura; Pelobatidae. The record is from the annotation of a GenBank genome assembly.
AGCAUAGUGUUUUAGAUCACCUAUUUAGGCCUAGCCCUGGUUUAGAGAAUAAACAUCUCUAUGACUAAUGAUUGUUAAUAAAAUGUAAUAUUUUCAUUUAUUUAUUGUUGCACAGCAGGGCUAACAAUAUCCUGUCCUAGGGCUACUAGCCAGGUCUUAAAAGAUACUUCCCACUGCAUACUUGUAGGGUCCAUGGCACACUUAGAAGGGGUGAAUUUCUACUCGCCAGGGCUAAAUUUGCACUCAGCAAUGGCUAGAAGAGUAUGAAAAAUUUUGAGCCCUGGAACAUAGAACAGAUAUUGACAUGG